Molecule: ribosomal RNA, 465 nt
Filed under: uncultured bacterium
Lineage: Bacteria
Description: partial 16S ribosomal RNA
Rfam family: Bacterial small subunit ribosomal RNA
Source: RNAcentral
GACGAACGCUGGCGGCGUGCUUAACACAUGCAAGUCGAGCGAGGCCCCUCCUUCGGGAGGGUGUCCUAGCGGCGAACGGGUGAGUAACAUGUGGGCAACCUGCCCUCAGCUCUGGGAUAACUCCGGGAAACCGGGGCUAAUACCGGAUACGACCUCCACGGGCAUCUGCGGAGGUGGAAAGUUUUUCGGCUGAGGAUGGGCCCGCGGCCUAUCAGCUAGUUGGUGGGGUAGUGGCCCACCAAGGCGACGACGGGUAGCCGGCCUGAGAGGGCGACCGGCCACACUGGGACUGAGACACGGCCCAGACUCCUACGGGAGGCAGCAGUGGGGAAUAUUGCGCAAUGGGCGAAAGCCUGACGCAGCGACGCCGCGUGAGGGACGAAGGCCUUCGGGUUGUAAACCUCUUUCAGCAGGGACGAAGCGAAAGUGACGGUACCUGCAGAAGAAGCACCAGCCAACUACGUG